AUUGAACGCUGGCGGCAGGCCUAACACAUGCAAGUCGAGCGCGCGGCGGACGGGUGAGUAAUGUCUGGGAAACUGCCUGCUGGAGGGGGAUAACUCCUGGAAACGGUAGCUAAUACCGCAUACCCUCUGAUGUGCCCCGAUGGGGUUAGCUGGUAGGGGGGGUAACGGCUCACCCAGGCGACGCUCCCUAGCUGGUCUGAGAGGAUGACCAGCCACACUGGAACUGAGACACGGUCCAGACGCCUACGGGAGGCAGCAGUGGGGAAUAUUGCACAAUGGGCGCAAGCCUGAUGCAGCCAUGCCGCGUGUGUGAAGAAGGCCUUCGGGUUGUAAAGUACUUUCAGCGGGGAGGCGUUACCCGCAGAAGAAGCACCGGCUAACUCCGUGCCAGCAGCCGCGGUAAUUC
RNAcentral lists this ribosomal RNA (406 nucleotides) under uncultured bacterium. Its description in RNAcentral is "partial 16S ribosomal RNA". It matches the Rfam family "Bacterial small subunit ribosomal RNA", at positions 29 to 526 of the family's 1533-position model. The record is from RNAcentral.